Long non-coding RNA from Cyprinus carpio carpio, 1555 nucleotides. The record is from Ensembl. Lineage: Eukaryota; Metazoa; Chordata; Actinopteri; Cypriniformes; Cyprinidae.
UAAUUGUCGAUAAAAGUCUUUGAAACGUAUGAAGUGCUUGUAAUUAUAUUUCAGUACAUCACAGAAACAACUGAAACAAAGAUCUAAAAGCAGUUUAGCAGCAAACUUUUUGAAAACUAAUAUUUAUGUAAUUCUCAAAACUUUUGGCCACGACUGUAGAUAUGGGUGUCGUGCCAUAAAAUAUUUUGAAUACGACUAACUUUGUAUUUAACGUGAAUUUAAUAAAAACAUUGUAAGUUUCUAAUUAAAACACUUUGUACAGAAAGAGAGCAAUUUAGCCUACAUUAUCAAAGAACAUUUUUACUGACUUUAGUCUAGCUAGAGUUGAAGCACUCUCAGAAACUCCCAUUAUAAUCACUGAAGCUGUUUACACUGUGAAAUGAAUAUCUUACAUUCGCACGCACUUCUGCACUUUUUUGUUUAUGAUGAGAGAUUUCUUUAGAGAACAGAAUCUGUCAAGCCUGUGUGCACUGAACAAAACACAGGUAUUUCAGCGAUGACUCAUCUGAACGACUCUGAUUGGUCAUUGCAUUCAUAAGCUCAACAGAACCAUGUGUGAUUGGUUAUAAUACAAAGCACUGUGAAAAUGCGUCUGGCUCAGGGCCAGCCAAAGCACUGAUGCAGAUUUGAAUUUAGCAGUUGGUGAUGUGCCGCACUGAAUCAAACAUAACAAAUAUUAUUUGGACAUUUUCUUGGCUUUUGGAAGCUGCAUUCAAAAUACACUAGGCUCAAAAAUCUGAGGGGGAACAUGCCCCUACGCUUUAAUUGGGCAUGACGCCUCUUUUUGCACAGCAAAAUUCCAUGAGUGAAAUGCAGGCUUAAUGAACCUUAUGUUUUACUGCAGAAAGUUUAUGUGAAUGUGCCAGACAUUAGAUUUAUUAGCCGCUACAGGUAAACAACUAGAUUAGAAGAAAACAGCCAAUUAAUGUCAUUAGCAUGUAAAAGAGCACCAGUCAACGUUCAAAUUCUUUACUUGAGAACGGUGAGUGGCAAGAAAUCCAUAGAUUUCCAAACACCUGCAGUACUCUGACAUGCCACAAGAAAAAGUCCCUGUUUAGAACCUGAUGUAGUGGCGCUAAGCACUUUUUUCACAUCAAAGACUGAUUUUAUAAAUCUAAAUGUUGGCAUGGGUUUUAGUGUAUAUGCCCACUCUAAGCUCAAAUCUGUGCAUACGCAUGUAUUAUAAAUGAGGCCCCUGAUCUAAAAUACAUAUGAAGAAAUUGUUCACCACUGAAAGUUUUGGGGCCUCAUUUGUAAAACGUGCAUAUGCACAGAUUUGAUCUUAAAUUGUGCGUAUGCUAAAAUCCACCUAAAUGUUCAGUUCAAGUUUUAAGUUUGUUGAACUAUGACUUGCGAUUUCACCCUGUUGACCAAUGGAAAGCUACUAUCACCAAUGGAUAACUAGAAAAUAAUAAUUAAAAAGGAGCUCCAAACUGUCUCAUAAGGUUAAAAACCAAAGAACCAGUUCCUUUACCAAAAUUGAUAUUCAUGGUGGUUCUCGAAAGUGGAGUCCUCUACAAAUUUAUACAGAACAUCUGAUUAAAAUACUCUGACA